AUGGGGCGCGGAGGCUGUCUGCACUUGGUGUGGAUGCUGCAGCCCUUUGUGAACGUACACUAUGUUGCUUUGGCGGCUCCGGCCGCCAAAGGACCUUCAAACUCCAGUGACUUAACGCAGACGUCUGAUAAACAAGUUAAUAAACUAAAACUUUCAACAACGGAUCUCUUGGUUCUGGCAUCGAUGAAGAACGCAGCGAAAUGCAAUGAGCAAUGUGAAUUGCAGAAUUCAGUGAAUCAUCGAAUCUUUGAACGCACAUUGCGCCCCUUGGUAUUCCGGGGGGCAUGCCUGUUCGAGCGUCAUUACAACCCUCAAGCUCUGCUUGGAAUUGGGCACCGUCCUCACUGCGGACGCGCCUCAAAGACCUCGGCGGUGGCUGUUCAGCCCUCAAGCGUAGUAGAAUACACCUCGCUUUGGAGCGGUUGGCGUCGCCCGCCGGACGAACCUUCUGAACUUUUCUCAAGGUUGACCUCGGAUCAGGUAGGGAUACCCGCUGAACUUAAGCAUAUCAAUAGCCGGAGGAAGAUCAUUACCGAGAUUUUCGAGCUCCGGCUCGACUCUCCAACACUGUGCACGUACCUCUUUGCUUUGGCGGCUCCGCCGCAAAGGACUUCAAACUCAGUCAGUAAACGCAACUCUGAUAAACAAGUUAAUAAACUAAAACUUUCAACAACGGACUUGGUUCUGGCAUCGAUAAAACGCCCGAAGCUAUCCAACUGUGAAUUGCAGAAAUCAGUGAAUCAACGACCUAGAACGCACAUGCGCCCUGGUAUUCGGGGGCAUGCUGUUCGAGCGUCAUUACACCUCAAGCUCUGCUGGGAAUUGGGCACGUCCUCCUGGCGGACCCGCCUCAAAGACUCGGCGGUGGCUGUCACCCUCAAGCGUAGUAGAACGACCACACUUUGCACGUUGGCGUCCCCGCCGGAGACUUCGGACUUUCCAAGGUCAUUCGGAUCAGGAGGAUACCGCUCACUUAGCAUCAUUACGCGAGGGAAAAUAG
This 1000-nucleotide ribosomal RNA is filed under the name Lasiodiplodia crassispora. RNAcentral's name for it is "eukaryotic LSU rRNA". The stretch from base 149 to 302 matches the Rfam family "5.8S ribosomal RNA". The record is from RNAcentral. Lineage: Eukaryota; Fungi; Ascomycota; Dothideomycetes; Botryosphaeriales; Botryosphaeriaceae.